Molecule: ribosomal RNA, 228 nt
Filed under: uncultured bacterium
Lineage: Bacteria
Description: partial 16S ribosomal RNA
Rfam family: Bacterial small subunit ribosomal RNA
Source: RNAcentral
CGGGUGAGUAAUACAUCGGAACGUGUCUUCUAGUGGGGGAUAACUGCCCGAAAGGGCAGCUAAUACCGCAUGAGACCUGAGGGUGAAAGCGGGGGAUCGCAAGACCUCGCGCUGGAAGAGCGGCCGAUGUCCGAUUAGCUAGUCGGUGAGGUAAAGGCUCACCAAGGCGACGAUCGGUAGCUGGUCUGAGAGGACGACCGGCCACACUGGGACUGAGACACGGCCCAG